CCAGCCCAGCUUUGCAUCUCCCUCUCCGCUCUCCUCUUCGCCGAGCUGAGAUGAGGACGCCCAGCCCGCCGGACCGCCGCCGGCGCAAGCCACCGCCACCUCCAAGUCCGUCCGUGCUGCUUCAUGCUGUGGCUACUCGCCGGCGCAGUCAGUCUCCCGAGCUCCACCACCAUCGCUCGCGUUCCGGCCGUCCGUCCAUGGCCGCGACAGCCACCGGCAUCAGCAGGGCAAGCGCGGCGGGGGGCAACGACAUCGGCACCGAGUUUCGGCCUCCAAACCCACAUCCCGCCCGCCCGCCCCCCAUCGCCGCCGCUGCUCAAGGUUCCUUAGAAAUUAGCGAGGUGAGGUGGAGCGCUUUGGCCAGAGAGUACUCUGGUCCAAGUUUAGCAGAAGGAGGUGAACUAGAUAGAUAGAGGCUGGGAAAUUUGUUUUGAUCCCUAGGCUGGAAAAUGUUGCUCAACUCUGCACAUUCGAACCCAGAAGAGUCGUCCUCCAGAUUACAAUUGAUUCAUCAUUGUUCAUUGGAAUCUCAAGCGAAUUUCUAUCGACCAGCCCCUGUACCAUUAUCGAGCGUGCUUGUCUCUGCGCAGGAUCCUAAAUUUGGAAUGCUCUAAUCCAUCUGAGAACUCAAGCAGUUAAAGCUUGCUAGGGGCUUGACUCGUGGAAUAAGUGAUAGAGACCUGAAACCAACCUCAGAUGAGCAAAUGCAGAGUACAAGCUGCAGUUUCAUUACCUUCUUUGUUUGUUUCUCAGUCACCUUGCAAUCAUCUGGUUUUGGUUUCAUAAAAUAGAGAGUCAGAUGAUGACGAUUGACGAUUGAUAUUACUUUCAAACCUUAUGAUCAUCUAGUUUUGGUUUCAACAAAUACAAAGUCAAAUGGUGACGAUUGACGAUUAAUAUUACUUUCAAUGGUUGCUAGUCUAUUAUGUUCUCCACAUGAAUUUAAGAGGCACACCCUUGACAUGUAUCGCCCGGUAGUGGGUCAUAACACUCUGAGCAAGUCAUUACAGUAUAAUAUUCACCUCUAGUCACCCAGUAGUAUUUUCAAUCCAUGCUAACUUGCCAAUUAAUCUCAAUACAAUACCAUGAUAUAUUAUGCAUUAUCGAAUGCUGCCAUGAUGUAUUGCUGUGCCUGUGACUAUAUAGACUUUUUUUUAACCACACAUAAUCAUGUAUACAUGUUUGAAUAUUUCCUGAAUUAUUGUUCUAAAUCAGACCACGGUCAGCAUUGGUGGUAGGUCGCUCCUCUGUUAGUCAAUCGAUUGUAUUGGUCAUGAUGAGAAUGCAGUUGCUUCAGUUUCGAAAAGAGCACUGACCCAUUAGGCUGCAUUUCUUAUUCCUGUUUUUGUGGCUCGUGUAUACGUAAAUUAAGUGCUUACAUGCUAAUUGUUGUUCUCCUGCAUAGAUAGCCCACAUUUAGCAUAUACACCAUACCAUUGUAUACAUCAUUUACAUUUUACGUUAUUCAAACGGUUCCUUUAAUGGACUGGUUGCUCAAACUGGAAACUGGUUCCUGCAACUGGACAAGAUGAAGGGAUGCUUGAAUAUAUUGCUUCCAGUUCGUUUGCACAGGCAACUCAUAUUCAGGAUCAUAGAUGCCCAGUAGCCAGUGUUUGGUUUUCAAAUGACUUGUUAAUUUUUUUUUCAUUGAAAAAAGGUAUUCUACGCAUUCUGCUUCAUUUCUUAAGUAGAUUUGCUUCUACAGAAAGUUACACUCAUUGCUUUUUUUUUUUUUGCUUGCUCUCGGAACAUCACAGUGUUAUUAGUUACAUACAAAAGUUCCAUCCUGGCGAAGAUGGCCCUUUUGGUAUAUCUGCCAAUGCUUGGAAAUGCCUAUAAAGGCUGUGCUGGUUACUCUGCCAUGACAUAUGACGUGUGCUGGAUACUGGUUUAUGUUUGCCUUUUAUGCUUAGAAAUAAAUAUCGUUCAGUUCUCUCUAACUGCAGCAAUCUUCAACUGUCAAUCUUGUAGUGCUGGAUCUCUGAGACCAUUCUUUUUUGGCUUCAAAGAAAAUUGAACUUAUUUGCACUGAACUUCAUUUCUCUGUUCUUCUGAUUACUGUUCAGCAAUUAAAGUGGAUGUUUGUCGUGUUUCAUUUUCUAAGGAUUAUAUAGCGCAACUAGGUGUUUAUUAUUUCUGACCACUAUUCUAUUUAUUAAUACCUUCUGCAUCAUGUUGUUUGUCAAGCAUGUUGGUGCUCUGUCCUGAAAAAAAAAACAUCUCUUCAUCUUCGCAUAAUACUACAAAUGUAGUGGUUGGUUUCCAUCUAGCAGGGAUGCUAUAUCUUUUGAAAGUUGUAUUGAGCAAGUUGUUGACGAAAUAUACCACCAUAGUUAGUAUUUUUGUUUUUGGUGUAAGCAUUCCUUGUUUAUUCACUCCACUGUUCAAUUGGUCCAGUCUAGUUAAUUGUGCGAUUAAAAGAUGCUUUCACACAUUUCUAUUGAUCUUUAUCUGUGUGUGCGCAAAAGCUGGUCCUAAUGAAUAUUCUGAAUCAUGUGUGUUUCCUCUGAUAACAUUUAUUUUGACCUCGUUUGUAAAUGAUCUGGUUGCUUAUUUUGUUUAGGAUAAUGUGCAGGAGGCUAAGCAAGCACUUCAAUUGACAAGAAAGUGGGGAACAAUUGAUGUAGCUGAUGCACUAGAGCUUCUCUCACCAGAUUCUGAAAGCGAGGAAGUAAGCUAUCUAGCACCUCUUUGCGUGCUUCCAUUUUUCUUAGAUGUCUGUGUGCUAUGAGGUUUUCAGAUUUUAUCAUGGUUUUAAAUAGCACGCUAAGGCUCUUAGCGGCGGACCUCUUCUCGCGCUAUUUAAAAUGCUUGUUCACUUGUUUGGACCAAAGUCUCUUAGCGCAAGACCUUCUGUAAACGCUAUAGCGGGCUAUAGCGGAGCUAUAGCGGGCUAUUUAAAACCAUGGAUUUUAUUAGAUACGUUGGCACGCUUCCUUGUGAAUUAGUCAUUAGUAAUUAUGCAAUUUUUGUUGUGGAGUUUCUCAUGAAAAAUUGCUGUAUGACAACAUGUGUCCUUUCUUCAAGUCUGUAUAUCCAGUUUCCGCCAUCUUUUACACUUUAAUGCUCCCUUCAAAUCAUAUUUUAGUAGAAGUAGGGAUACUCACUUUUGUGAACUGUAUCUAGUUUAAGCGCUGUUGCUGAGUGGAGACAUUUACCUUUAACUUGUUCAGAUGCUUUUUGAAACUGUGGUUUUAUCCGAUUCAAUACUUGGGGAGAAAUUCUGAUAGCGAUCUCAUAUUUGUACAUGGGAUGAGAGGCUUGCCUCAGUUGUACUGUUCACGCAUCUUCUUCAUUGAUAGAGAUAACUUACUGACCGGGGAGAAACCCUAGUGAACAAUUUAUGUGACCCCAACCCAUCUAUUAGCAUCCCCUUUUCCAAAGAAGCACUCUUUGCCCAAGAAGAGCAUCCCCUUUUUUCCAAGGAAGAAAGAAUCGAAUUCCUUCCCCGCAGGAGAGAGCACGUCUCCUCCAAAAUACCUGCUCCCACAGAUCCUAUUCCCACCGACGACCCAUCUGUAAGAUAACUACAAUUCCAUUAGCAGCUAGUUAAACACGCCAAGAACUACACAAUAACUAUUAAAACGAUUAAGAAAAAUAAUUUCAAAAAGGAAAACAAAUAAAAGGAAACAAAAGGAUGAUAGAAGCAAAAUAAGACAAGAAAAAUACGAAAAAGUACCUAAAUGCACCUAGAAGCUGGAACUGUCAUUGCUAAAUGUUUUCAGGUCUAAUACUGACGGGAAUGUUUUCAGGUUUAGUUAGCAACCUGACAAACCUGGAAGGAGAGAGUACUGCCUAGAAAUAAUAUCUAGAUAGAGAGAGGAGGAUUGGCACUAAAAUUUGGCUUUGAUGCAAAUAAAUUCCUCCAACCGCAUGACCCCAUCCAUCCGUCUCCUUUUCUCUUUGCCAAAGAAAGAAUCAAAUUCCUCCCCACAGACCACAUGCAUGUAUCCCUGAAUUCUUUUCCAAAGAAGAGCUUAGCUGCU
Triticum urartu is the source of this 3986-nucleotide non-coding RNA. The record is from RefSeq and is a predicted model, not a curated record. Lineage: Eukaryota; Viridiplantae; Streptophyta; Magnoliopsida; Poales; Poaceae.